This 253-nucleotide ribosomal RNA is filed under the name uncultured bacterium. RNAcentral's name for it is "partial 16S ribosomal RNA". It matches the Rfam family "Bacterial small subunit ribosomal RNA", at positions 524 to 776 of the family's 1533-position model. The record is from RNAcentral.
UACGUAGGGUGCAAGCGUUAAUCGGAAUUACUGGGCGUAAAGCGUGCGCAGGCGGUUAUGCAAGACAGAUGUGAAGUCCCCGGGCUCAACCUGGGAACUGCAUUUGUGACUGCAUGGCUAGAGUACGGUAGAGGGGGAUGGAAUUCCGCGUGUAGCAGUGAAAUGCGUAGAUAUGCGGAGGAAUACCAAUGGCGAAGGCAGCCCCCUGGGAUAAUAUUGACGCUCAUGCACGAAAGCGUGGGGAGCAAACAGG